Lagenorhynchus albirostris (white-beaked dolphin) is the source of this 652-nucleotide long non-coding RNA. RefSeq lists it as uncharacterized. Lineage: Eukaryota; Metazoa; Chordata; Mammalia; Artiodactyla; Delphinidae. The transcript is spliced from 4 exons. The record is from RefSeq and is a predicted model, not a curated record.
UAGAGUUUUAUGCUCAUGUCUGUGAUCUGAGCCGAUAGCAGUGGCUCACGCCCAUCUCUGGAGCUUGUUUAAGUGGUGCUCUGCCUUCUGUGGGCAGACGAGGAAGGAAUCCCCUCUCCUCGUGCACCCUGAAACAAUGGUCUCUUGCCUCUUAGGCAGGUCCAGGCUUUUUCCUGGAGUCCCUCCGGCUAGCUGUGGUGCACUAACCCUGUCAGGCUGUCUUCAUGCAGCCAACUCCAGUCUUCUCCUUGGAGUCUGACUUCCGAAGCCUGAGCCUCAGCUCCCAGCCCCGACCCAUCCUGGUGGGUGAGCAGAAAAGCCUCUCAAGCUGGCCUAAGUAAAUGACCAGGAGAAACCAAAAUAUCACCUUAGUCUGGAUUUAUUUCUUUCACCUGAAUAUGAGACACUGGUGUUUUGAAAGUUAAUUUAGAAUCAUGCAGUAUGCAAUGGACACACAGAUGUCAACAAGGGACAAGUUUUCCUAAGAAUGGGAUGUUAGAAGGAGGUCUUAGAUAGUGGUCACUUGGUCUUGGUCAGAAGGCCCUUGAGCUCUUUGCAGAGGAAAAACCAUGUGAGGACAUAACCAGCAAGAGGGCCCUCACCAACAACUCGACCAUGCUGGCACCCUGAUCUUGGACUCUCAGCCUCUGGA